This 159-nucleotide ribosomal RNA is filed under the name Triticum aestivum (bread wheat). RNAcentral describes it as "partial small subunit ribosomal RNA". Lineage: Eukaryota; Viridiplantae; Streptophyta; Magnoliopsida; Poales; Poaceae. The record is from RNAcentral.
AUGAAGGUCUUCCACUAUAUCAGGGUAACUGAUGUGAGCAUUGAGAACAUGCAUCAGGGGUUCACACAUGUCUUUGAGUCCACUUUUGAAAGCACCGAGAGAGCUUCAGGCAUUGAGGCGUUGAGCCAUAUUGUAGUAUUGCCACCAAACCCUUCAUGA